Molecule: ribosomal RNA, 217 nt
Filed under: Pichia kudriavzevii
Lineage: Eukaryota; Fungi; Ascomycota; Pichiomycetes; Pichiales; Pichiaceae
Description: partial 26S ribosomal RNA
Rfam family: Eukaryotic large subunit ribosomal RNA
Source: RNAcentral
UGAAGGGCAGGGGGAUUGCCUCAGUAGCGGCGAGUGAAGCGGCAAGAGCUCAGAUUUGAAAUCGUGCUUUGCGGCACGAGUUGUAGAUUGCAGGUUGGAGUCUGUGUGGAAGGCGGUGUCCAAGUCCCUUGGAACAGGGCGCCCAGGAGGGUGAGAGCCCCGUGGGAUGCCGGCGGAAGCAGUGAGGCCCUUCUGACGAGUCGAGUUGUUUGGGAAU